This 484-nucleotide ribosomal RNA is filed under the name uncultured bacterium. Its description in RNAcentral is "partial 16S ribosomal RNA". It matches the Rfam family "Bacterial small subunit ribosomal RNA", at positions 30 to 507 of the family's 1533-position model. The record is from RNAcentral.
AUUGAACGCUGGCGGCAGGCCUAACACAUGCAAGUCGAGCGGAUGAAGGGAGCUUGCUCCUGGAUUCAGCGGCGGACGGGUGAGUAAUGCCUAGGAAUCUGCCUGGUAGUGGGGGAUAACGUCCGGAAACGGGCGCUAAUACCGCAUACGUCCUGAGGGAGAAAGUGGGGGAUCUUCGGACCUCACGCUAUCAGAUGAGCCUAGGUCGGAUUAGCUAGUUGGUGGGGUAAAGGCCUACCAAGGCGACGAUCCGUAACUGGUCUGAGAGGAUGAUCAGUCACACUGGAACUGAGACACGGUCCAGACUCCUACGGGAGGCAGCAGUGGGGAAUAUUGGACAAUGGGCGAAAGCCUGAUCCAGCCAUGCCGCGUGUGUGAAGAAGGUCUUCGGAUUGUAGAGCACUUUAAGUUGGGAGGAAGGGAAGUAAGUUAAUACCUUGCUGUUUUGACGUUACCAACAGAAUAAGCACCGGCUAACUUCGUG